Molecule: ribosomal RNA, 497 nt
Filed under: uncultured bacterium
Lineage: Bacteria
Description: partial 16S ribosomal RNA
Rfam family: Bacterial small subunit ribosomal RNA
Source: RNAcentral
GAUGAACGCUGGCGGCGUGCCUAAUACAUGCCAGUCGAGCGAACAGACGAGGAGCUUGCUCCUCUGACGUUAGCGGCGGACGGGUGAGUAACACGUGGAUAACCUACCUAUAAGACUGGGAUAACUUCGGGAAACCGGAGCUAAUACCGGAUAAUAUAUUGAACCGCAUGGUUCAAUAGUGAAAGACGGUUUUGCUGUCACUUAUAGAUGGAUCCGCGCCGCAUUAGCUAGUUGGUAAGGUAACGGCUUACCAAGGCGACGAUGCGUAGCCGACCUGAGAGGGUGAUCAGCCACACUGGAACUGAGACACGGUCCAGACUCCUACGGGAGGCAGCAGUAGGGAAUCUUCCGCAAUGGGCGAAAGCCUGACGGAGCAACGCCGCGUGAGUGAUGAAGGUCUUCGGAUCGUAAAACUCUGUUAUUAGGGAAGAACAAAUGUGUAAGUAACUAUGCACGUCUUGACGGUACCUAAUCAGAAAGCCACGGCUAACUACGUG